ACUAUAUAGCUACUUGGUCAUUUAGAGGAAGUAAAAGUCGUAACAAGGUUUCCGUAGGUGAACCUGCGGAAGGAUCAUUAGUGAUUGGCUCCGGCCUAUAUCAUGUCCAAUACCUCUGUGAACCGUUGGCCCUCGGGGCCUUUUUUCAAACAUGGUGUAAUGAACGUGAAACAUAAUAACCUAAUAAAACUUUCAACAACGGAUCUCUUGGCUCUCGCAUCGAUGAAGAACGCAGCGAAAUGCGAUAAGUAAUGUGAAUUGCAGAAUUCAGUGAAUCAUCGAAUCUUUGAACGCACCUUGCGCCUUUUGGUAUUCCGAAAGGCAUGCCUGUUUGAGUGUCAUGAAAUAUCAAUCCCUCAGGUUUUUCCUGAUCGAUUGGACUUGGGCGUCUGCCGACCGGCUCGCCUUAAAUGCGUUAGUGGUUCAAGUCACUCGUGUCUGACGUAAUAAGUUUCGUCUCGCAUGGUGGCCUACCCGCUCACAACCCCCAUCUUUACUUCUGACCUCAAAUCAGUA
This 516-nucleotide ribosomal RNA is filed under the name uncultured fungus. Its description in RNAcentral is "eukaryotic LSU rRNA". The stretch from base 188 to 341 matches the Rfam family "5.8S ribosomal RNA". The record is from RNAcentral. Lineage: Eukaryota; Fungi.